GAUGAACGCUGGCGGCGUGCUUAACACAUGCAAGUCGAACGGUGAAGGCGGAGCUUGCUCUGCUGGAUCAGUGGCGAACGGGUGAGUAACACGUGAGCAAUCUGCCCCUGACUCUGGGAUAAGCGCUGGAAACGGCGUCUAAUACUGGAUACGAGCUGCGAAGGCAUCUUCAGCAGCUGGAAAGAAUUUCGGUCAGGGAUGAGCUCGCGGCCUAUCAGCUUGUUGGUGAGGUAAUGGCUCACCAAGGCGUCGACGGGUAGCCGGCCUGAGAGGGUGACCGGCCACACUGGGACUGAGACACGGCCCAGACUCCUACGGGAGGCAGCAGUGGGGAAUAUUGCACAAUGGGCGAAAGCCUGAUGCAGCAACGCCGCGUGAGGGACGACGGCCUUCGGGCUGUAAACCUCUUUUAGCAGGGAAGAAGCGAAAGUGACGGUACCUGCAGAAAAAGCGCCGGCUAACUACGU
RNAcentral lists this ribosomal RNA (467 nucleotides) under uncultured bacterium. Its description in RNAcentral is "partial 16S ribosomal RNA". It matches the Rfam family "Bacterial small subunit ribosomal RNA", at positions 28 to 506 of the family's 1533-position model. The record is from RNAcentral.